UACACAUAAAAAAUAAUAUUUAUUCUGGUUUCCUUACGUAAAUGAUCUAUCUUGAGACAACAGGCCAAAUACUUUCUUUCCAGGGCAGACCAAUUAACAGUAAGUUUUCUUAGUCCUCAGGUGUCUUGUUUCUUCUGUCUUAGAAGUCAUGGAUGUCAAUGAAGAUAUGGAAUUCACUUCUUCGUUCUUAUAAAUAUUGCUUAGUUUCCUUGUGCCUGGCACUGUGGUUGGUCACUGCGACCUACUGUUCAAAAGCAAGAUAACAUACAGGCUGGAACAGCGAGAUGCAAAAAUCCCGAGCCUUCAAAGCCAGCUCCUGCAGAAGAGAGAGGGCCUAGCAGCUGAGCUGGAUGCUUCAGGAGCAGAGGAUCUAUCAACUGCAGACCAAGCAUAGGGAGACGCAGGCAAACCUGGAACAGUAACCCAGCCAGCUCCAAUUGCUCCCACAGUACUUGGUGGCCAGACAGUCAGCAGCAGAAAGCGUGCCCCGGGCCAUGAAGCAGGAAAUCGACUCUGACUUAAUCCUUGAGGUCAGGCAGAGAAAACAAAAGCUCAGCUGGAAGAGACUGAAAUGGAGGCACCUACUUUCAAGCCCAGACUUUAAGAGAGCUUUCGGUUCGAUACUUGGCA
RNAcentral lists this long non-coding RNA (630 nucleotides) under Rhinopithecus bieti (black snub-nosed monkey). RNAcentral describes it as "lncRNA (ENSRBIG00000046331.1)". Lineage: Eukaryota; Metazoa; Chordata; Mammalia; Primates; Cercopithecidae. The record is from RNAcentral.